This 489-nucleotide ribosomal RNA is filed under the name uncultured bacterium. RNAcentral describes it as "partial 16S ribosomal RNA". It matches the Rfam family "Bacterial small subunit ribosomal RNA", at positions 30 to 506 of the family's 1533-position model. The record is from RNAcentral.
AUUGAACGCUGGCGGCAGGCCUAACACAUGCCAGUCGAACGGUAACAGGAAACAGCUUGCUGUUUCGCUGACGAGUGGCGGACGGGUGAGUAAUGUCUGGGAAACUGCCUGAUGGAGGGGGAUAACUACUGGAAACGGUAGCUAAUACCGCAUAACGUCGCAAGACCAAAGAGGGGGACCUGCGGGCCUCUUGCCAUCGGAUGUGCCCAGAUGGGAUUAGCUAGUAGGUGGGGUAACGGCUCACCUAGGCGACGAUCCCUAGCUGGUCUGAGAGGAUGACCAGCCACACUGGAACUGAGACACGGUCCAGACUCCUACGGGAGGCAGCAGUGGGGAAUAUUGCACAAUGGGCGCAAGCCUGAUGCAGCCAUGCCGCGUGUAUGAAGAAGGCCUUCGGGUUGUAAAGUACUUUCAGCGGGGAGGAAGGGAGUAAAGUUAAUACCUUUGCUCAUUGACGUUACCCGCAGAAGAAGCACCGGCUAACUCCGU